AUGGUCGCCGUCGCGCCCCCGCCUCCGGCGCCUCUCCCCGCCGCCGCUCGCGGCCGAAGCCGGAGCCCUCGUCGAGGCGGGCUCGAUCCCCGCCAUGGUUGCGGCGCAGCAGGCCACGCUGCACGCGCAGGUGGACCAGCUCCAGCGCCUCGUCGUCAACCCGCUCGCCCAGGAGAUGGUCAGGAGCCCCUCCCCUUUCUCCAAUCUCUGCAUCGUCGGCUCUGCGCGCAGCUCCGCGAGGCGGAGUGCGACAGGAUCUACUUGAUGCUCAAGAAUACUUGCUCCAGGAAGGGUGCAGACCGCCGUCUACACGAACAAGCAGAGAUACAUGCAGCUCUUCCUCUUCGUUGCUGUCCUGUACCUGACGCCGGCGACCUCGAGUAG
Molecule: ribosomal RNA, 384 nt
Filed under: Triticum aestivum (bread wheat)
Lineage: Eukaryota; Viridiplantae; Streptophyta; Magnoliopsida; Poales; Poaceae
Description: partial small subunit ribosomal RNA
Source: RNAcentral